UACGUAGGGGGCAAGCGUUGUCCGGAUUUAUUGGGCGUAAAGAGCGUGUAGGCGGUCUGGUAGGUCCGUUGUGAAAACUCGAGGCUCAACCUCGAGACGCCGAUGGAAACCAUCAGACUAGAGUCCGGAAGAGGAGAGUGGAAUUUCUGGUGUAGCGGUGAAAUGCGCAGAUAUCAGGAAGAACACCCGUGGCUAAGGCGGCUCUCUAGUACGGUACUGACGCUGAGACGCGAAAGCGUGGGGAGCGAACAGG
Molecule: ribosomal RNA, 253 nt
Filed under: uncultured bacterium
Lineage: Bacteria
Description: partial 16S ribosomal RNA
Rfam family: Bacterial small subunit ribosomal RNA
Source: RNAcentral